Long non-coding RNA from Cyclopterus lumpus (lumpfish), 386 nucleotides. RefSeq lists it as uncharacterized. NCBI's taxonomy places the organism in Eukaryota, Metazoa, Chordata, Actinopteri, Perciformes, Cyclopteridae. The transcript is spliced from 3 exons. The record is from RefSeq and is a predicted model, not a curated record.
AUAGGCAUAGAGGGCGGUACAUGGUGGCUCAUGAUAGGACAAGGAGGCUCCAGGGAGGAAAGAGGAUGGCACAUGACAAGAGGCCGGUAAAUGGAGGCUCAUGGGAGGAUAAGAGGACAGUACAUGGAGAUCUGAGACCAACUGAAGCAUAUGUGACCAUGAGGACGGCGUGGAGACGAGUGUGCAUCCUUCUACCAAACAAGCAGAGCCUGGACUGUACCGUCAGGGUGAGAGCCAGAGGCCACGAAGGUGUUGAAUAGUGUGUUGAAGCAGCUUGGCGUCAGUGAACUCCAAGUCUUCGGUCUGGCUGUCCUCAGAGAUAAUGAAUACCUUUACUUGAUUUGGAGCAAAACUGAGCAAGUACUUUGACAAAAGAUGGAACAGAG